AACGAACGCUGGCGGCAGGCCUAACACAUGCAAGUCGAGCGGACAUCUUCGGAUGUUAGCGGCGGACGGGUGAGUAACGCGUGGGAACGUGCCCUUUGCUUCGGAAUAGCCUAGGGAAACUGGGAGUAAUACCGGAUGUACCCUUUGGGGGAAAGAUUUAUCGGCAAAGGAUCGGCCCGCGUUGGAUUAGGUAGUUGGUGGGGUAAUGGCCUACCAAGCCGACGAUCCAUAGCUGGUUUGAGAGGAUGAUCAGCCACACUGGGACUGAGACACGGCCCAGACUCCUACGGGAGGCAGCAGUGGGGAAUCUUAGACAAUGGGGGAAACCCUGAUCUAGCCAUGCCGCGUGAGCGAUGAAGGCCUUAGGGUUGUAAAGCUCUUUCACCGGGGAAGAUAAUGACGGUACCCGGAGAAGAAGCCCCGGCUAACUCCGUG
Molecule: ribosomal RNA, 435 nt
Filed under: uncultured bacterium
Lineage: Bacteria
Description: partial 16S ribosomal RNA
Rfam family: Bacterial small subunit ribosomal RNA
Source: RNAcentral